GGUUUCCAACAGAGACUGGGUUGCGGAAUGUUCGAACCCACCAGGAACUGUCGGGGUUUUGCUCGGGGUGGGAGGACCGGAUGGCCUGGCUGUUUAAGAGUUAGUGUGGAAUCCACAGAGCUCGAGAUGCCUGAGGCCACAGGGAAAGAAGGAAGAUAUUCACCAAGGAGAAUGACAUUAAAGUCUCACACAGUAACUCUGGAGAUCUGUUUGCCUUGUGAAGACAGAAUGUUGGCCUGGGUGUCCUCAUCUGAUAACCUUCUAAAGCUGGAGGGUGGAUUUCCUCUGAAGUGUCUCCAUCAAGCUCAGAAUUUUAGAAUACCAUGUUAAGAAACUAAGAUGGGGGCGCCUGGGUGGCUCAGUGGGUUAAAGCCUCUGCCU
This is a long non-coding RNA of Lontra canadensis (Northern American river otter), 381 nucleotides long. RefSeq lists it as uncharacterized. The transcript is spliced from 3 exons. Lineage: Eukaryota; Metazoa; Chordata; Mammalia; Carnivora; Mustelidae. The record is from RefSeq and is a predicted model, not a curated record.